RNAcentral lists this transfer RNA (72 nucleotides) under Neotoma lepida (desert woodrat). It matches the Rfam family "tRNA". Rfam says of the family: Transfer RNA (tRNA) molecules are approximately 80 nucleotides in length. Their secondary structure includes four short double-helical elements and three loops (D, anti-codon, and T loops). The record is from Rfam by way of RNAcentral. Lineage: Eukaryota; Metazoa; Chordata; Mammalia; Rodentia; Cricetidae.
AGGGAUAUAGCUCAGGAGGUAGAGCACUUGCCAGGCAUGCAAGAGGUCCUGGAUUCAAUUCCAGUAUCGCCC